CCGGAAAGCGCCCGAGAACCAACGAUGCGCCAGCAGGCCCACCACCCUAGCCAUGGCCGGCGUGGGCGGGACUCCGGGGACCCGGCCGCUGACCGCGGGCCGGCUCGGUGGUGAAUUCCUGCAGGACGUGUUUACUCAGAGACUGGAUUGGAGGCCAUUCGAGGAGCAUCCCAAAGUCACUCCCAGGUGCCCAGGUUCUAGACUCACAGCCUCAUGAAUAUGUCACACGGGCAGGUUCAUGACAAUGAAGGAGCCCUUCCCCUGGCCCACGUGUUUCUCUCUGUAGAUUCGACUUUCCUUCGCCCCUGAAACACCCAGCUGCAGGAGACAGAAGAGGGACACCACCCCUCUUUGGACUUCCUGGAUCCCAGAGAUCGACGACCUAAACUUGGACGGCACGCUGAGAGCCCAGACGUUGGCUGGAGCCGAAUCUCUGUGCGGACGUGGGUUAGCAUCGCCCUGGAGAUAUUCCUCCGCAGGAGCAUAAUGAGGGGGUAAUGAAAGGAUAUGAGACCCUAGAGCGGAAAGGGGCGUUAAAGGAGGGAGCAGGAGGAGGGCCCCAAAAGAAGUGCAGUCAGCUCCGUUCAAACCUAGUGCAGGACCUGGAAUCUGAGUGUUACGGAUUUAGAACCUAUUUGAGACCUAUCCCAAAGGACUCUUGUGAAAAUCAACACAGACAGACUCUGGAGGUCGGAGUGGGGAGCUCUUUCGCACGGACGGCUCCACAUCAAGGAUUCCAACGGGAAGGGAGGUACCUUCCCUCUAUGGCAGGAAGCGACCCUGCUUUACCAGCUAGAAGGAGGCGGCAAGACUUUCUCCUCGCCUGGCAACAGCUCAGCCAAUGAGAAGCCGCUGUACUUGGAGGUCCGAGUUUCCUCCAAUAGUCUGUUUGUUUACAGCAGCUCCUCCCCACGCCCUCGUCUCCGUAAGGGUUCCCUCUGCUUACUUGGCUGUGCUUCCCCGUAGUUGCGUUCCCCAAACUGCUGUAUAAAUCCACCUUGCUGGGAAAAUAAACCGUCUUAUUGUUUUAGCUUAGCGCUACGAUGAUGCCUGUAAAAUAGAGUUUUUUGAAAAUCGAAAUAUAGUUGAUUUACACUGA
Molecule: long non-coding RNA, 1099 nt
Organism: Sus scrofa (pig)
Lineage: Eukaryota; Metazoa; Chordata; Mammalia; Artiodactyla; Suidae
Source: RefSeq, a predicted model, not a curated record